GAUGAACGCUGGCGGCGUGCCUAAUACAUGCAAGUCGAGCGAACGGACGAGAGGCUUGCUUCUCUGAUGUUAGCGGCGGACGGGUGAGUAACACGUGGAUAACCUACCUAUAAGACUGGGAUAACUUCGGGAAACCGGAGCUAAUACCGGAUAAUAUUUUGAACCGCAUGGUUCAAAAGUAAAAGACGGUCUUGCUGUCACUUAUAGAUGGAUCCGCGCUGCAUUAGCUAGUUGGUAAGGUAACGGCUUACCAAGGCAACGAUGCAUAGCCGACCUGAGAGGGUGAUCGGCCACACUGGAACUGAGACACGGUCCAGACUCCUACGGGAGGCAGCAGUAGGGAAUCUUCCGCAAUGGGCGAAAGCCUGACGGAGCAACGCCGCGUGAGUGAUGAAGGUCUUCGGAUCGUAAAACUCUGUUAUUAGGGAAGAAUAUAUGUGUAAGUAACUGUGCACAUCUUGACGGUACCUAAUCAGAAAGCCACGGCUAACUACGUGCCAGCAGCCGCGGUAAUACGUAGGUGGCAAGCGUUAUCCGGAAUUAUUGGGCGUAAAGCGCGCGUAGGCGGUUUUUUAAGUCUGAUGUGAAAGCCCACGGCUCAACCGUGGAGGGUCAUUGGAAACUGGAAAACUUGAGUGCAGAAGAGGAAAGUGGAAUUCCAUGUGUAGCGGUGAAAUGCGCAGAGAUAUGGAGGAACACCAGUGGCGAAGGCGACUUUCUGGUCUGUAACUGACGCUGGUGUGCGAAAGCGUGGGGAUCAAACAGGAUUAGAUACCCUGGUAGUCCACGCCGUAAACGAUGAGUGCUAAGUGUUAGGGGGUUUCCGCCCCUUAGUGCUGCAGCUAACGCAUUAAGCACUCCGCCUGGGGAGUACGACCGCAAGGUUGAAACUCAAAGGAAUUGACGGGGACCCGCACAAGCGGUGGAGCAUGUGGUUUAAUUCGAAGCAACGCGAAGAACCUUACCAAAUCUUGACAUCCUUUGACAACUCUAGAGAUAGAGCCUUCCCCUUCGGGGGACAAAGUGACAGGUGGUGCAUGGUUGUCGUCAGCUCGUGUCGUGAGAUGCUGGGUUAAGUCCCGCAACGAGCGCAACCCUUAAGCUUAGUUGCCAUCAUUAAGUUGGGCACUCUAAGUUGACUGCCGGUGACAAACCGGAGGAAGGUGGGGAUGACGUCAAAUCAUCAUGCCCCUUAUGAUUUGGGCUACACACGUGCUACAAUGGACAAUACAAAGGGCAGCGAAACCGCGAGGUCAAGCAAAUCCCAUAAAGUUGUUCUCAGUUCGGAUUGUAGUCUGCAACUCGACUACAUGAAGCUGGAAUCGCUAGUAAUCGUAGAUCAGCAUGCUACGGUGAAUACGUUCCCGGGUCU
RNAcentral lists this ribosomal RNA (1372 nucleotides) under uncultured bacterium. RNAcentral describes it as "bacterial SSU rRNA". It matches the Rfam family "Bacterial small subunit ribosomal RNA", at positions 28 to 1381 of the family's 1533-position model. The record is from RNAcentral.